RNAcentral lists this ribosomal RNA (1286 nucleotides) under Bacillus sp. (in: firmicutes). Its description in RNAcentral is "bacterial SSU rRNA". It matches the Rfam family "Bacterial small subunit ribosomal RNA", at positions 57 to 1326 of the family's 1533-position model. The record is from RNAcentral. Lineage: Bacteria; Bacillati; Bacillota; Bacilli; Caryophanales; Bacillaceae.
GCAGUCGAGCGGANCGACGGGAGCUUGCUCCCUUAGGUCAGCGGCGGACGGGUGAGUAACACGUGGGUAACCUGCCUGUAAGACUGGGAUAACUCCGGGAAACCGGGGCUAAUACCGGAUGCUUGAUUGAACCGCAUGGUUCAAUCAUAAAAGGUGGCUUUUAGCUACCACUUNCNGAUGGACCCGCGGCGCAUUAGCUAGUUGGUGAGGUAACGGCUCACCAAGGCGACGAUGCGUAGCCGACCUGAGAGGGUGAUCGGCCACACUGGGACUGAGACACGGCCCAGACUCCUACGGGAGGCAGCAGUAGGGAAUCUUCCGCAAUGGACGAAAGUCUGACGGAGCAACGCCGCGUGAGUGAUGAAGGUUUUCGGAUCGUAAAACUCUGUUGUUAGGGAAGAACAAGUACCGUUCGAAUAGGGCGGCACCUUGACGGUACCUAACCAGAAAGCCACGGCUAACUACGUGCCAGCAGCCGCGGUAAUACGUAGGUGGCAAGCGUUGUCCGGAAUUAUUGGGCGUAAAGCGCGCGCAGGCGGUUUCUUAAGUCUGAUGUGAAAGCCCCCGGCUCAACCGGGGAGGGUCAUUGGAAACUGGGGAACUUGAGUGCAGAAGAGGAGAGUGGAAUUCCACGUGUAGCGGUGAAAUGCGUAGAGAUGUGGAGGAACACCAGUGGCGAAGGCGACUCUCUGGUCUGUAACUGACGCUGAGGCGCGAAAGCGUGGGGAGCGAACAGGAUUAGAUACCCUGGUAGUCCACGCCGUAAACGAUGAGUGCUAAGUGUUAGAGGGUUUCCGCCCUUUAGUGCUGCAGCAAACGCAUUAAGCACUCCGCCUGGGGAGUACGGUCGCAAGACUGAAACUCAAAGGAAUUGACGGGGGCCCGCACAAGCGGUGGAGCAUGUGGUUUAAUUCGAAGCAACGCGAAGANCCUUACCAGGUCUUGACAUCNUNUGACAACCCUAGAGAUAGGGCUUCCCCUUCGGGGGCAGAGUGACAGGUGGUGCAUGGUUGUCGUCAGCUCGUGUCGUGAGAUGUUGGGUUAAGUCCCGCAACGAGCGCAACCCUUGAUCUUAGUUGCCAGCAUUCAGUUGGGCACUCUAAGGUGACUGCCGGUGACAAACCGGAGGAAGGUGGGGAUGACGUCAAAUCAUCAUGCCCCUUAUGACCUGGGCUACACACGUGCUACAAUGGGCAGAACAAAGGGCAGCGAAGCCGCGAGGCUAAGCCAAUCCCACAAAUCUGUUCUCAGUUCGGAUCGCAGUCUGCAACUCGACUGCGUGAAGC